ACCAACUUCCGGGUGUGGCAGCCGCCCUUCCCCCACCCUCGCCGGCGGGAACCGCCCGUCUUCUCCGCCAGCAGCUUCCGCCUGCCGCAGUCUCGGCACGCGUUCUGGGAUCCCGCCCCUUCCCGGGGAUAGUGACCGGGCGAGCGCGCGCCUCGCGGUACCGAAGACACCCGAGCACGCGCCAGGGCUUCGGCUCCAGACGCGGGUUGUGAUGGGUUGCGGGGGGGGGCGGGUACUGGCUAGGGUGGAUCGCUGCCACUACCUUCUCUCAGCCAGCUGAGGCCUCGGAACCCUUUCUUAGCCACGUUUGUAGACAAAGGAGCGCUGGAUUUUGUUCAAAGAACUUUCUUUGCUAACGUUAAGGAGCCCGAAUUGAGAUUGAAAGGAAGAGGAGCGAAGUCCAGGCUCGGGAAUGGGAUGUGGGAAAAGGAAAACUCCGUUUUCCUGGGUCUGCGUCGUCCGGAGGAAAAAGCUGUUGAUGAUAUCUAAUAGACUUUAUUCGGACCAAAGCUAUCUAUGGUCCUCCACCCAUUUUCUGGGUUUAUGGGAAAUGAAACAGAAGUGACAGCCACUACUAAUUAACAGCUAAGCUGGAAACUAAAAAUAAGAUCCAACGUAGUGGAGAGGCAUAGUCUACAAUGAGCCAAAUUACAAGGUUCCAACUUAGACGUUUUCCCUGAUGUAUUGGUUCUGAUAAGGCGGGGAAAAGUGGGUUAAAGUGUAUUCAGAAACUGAUUUUCUCUCCUUUCCAGGGAAGCAAACGUGUGACAAGUUCUUUACAAAAAUUGCAUUUUUUUUUUUAAAUGCUGGAGAAGACCCUUGAGAGUCCCUUGGACAGCAAGAUCAAACCGGUCAAUCCUAAAGGAAAUCAACCGUGAAUAUUAACUGGAAGGACUAUGCCGAAGCUCCAAUAUUUUGGCCACCUGAUGCGAAGAGCCUACUCAUUGGAAAAGACCUUGAUGCUAGGAAAGAUUAAGGGCAGGAGGGAAAGGGGGUGACAGAGGAUGAGAUAGUUGGAUGGCAUCACCAAUUCAAUGGACAUGAGUUUGAGAAACUCCAUGAGAUGGUGAAGGACAGGGAAGCCUGGCAUGCUGCAGUUCAUAGAGUUGCAAGUAGUCAGACACAGCUUAGCGACUGAAAACCAAUGGUGACCUCCAAGAGGGCUCACACCAAGGGCCACUUCCUAGGACUGCUGCUGCCCGUGCCCCUAUCCCUGCAGCGAGCCACUGCUGACCCACGCUGCCGCGAGAGUUCAUCGAACACUAGCUGGUAGGUCUGGUUCAGUCUCCUGUGGGGUCACUGCUCCUUUCCCCUCAGUCCUGGCACACGCAAGAUGUUGUUUGUGCCCUCCAAGUGUGAAGUCUCUAUUUCUCCCAGUCCUAUGGAAGUCCUGCAAUCAAAUCCUGUUGGCCUUCACAGUCAGGAUCCCUGGGGAUUCCUAGUCCCUUUGCUGGGUCCCCAGGCUAGGACGCUUAGAACCAUCACAAGAGUGGGAGAACUUCUUUGGUAUUAGUGUUCUCCAGUUUGUGGGUUGCCCAUUAGGCGGGUAUAGGAUUUAACUUUAUCGUGAUUGUGCCCUCCCCCCACCAUUUCGUUGUGGCCUCUCCUUUGUCUUUAAAUGUGGGAUAUCUUUUUUUGGGGGGUUCCAGCAUCCUCCUGUCCAUGGUUGUUCAAAAGCUAGUUGGUGCUCUCACAGGAGAUGGGCACAUGUCCUUGUACCCUGACAUCUUGAACCAGUCAACCCUGAAGACAAGACUAUAAGUGAGUGAUUAUAAACAGUGAUCGCAAAAAAAAAAAAAAAAAACAGUGAUCGCAGAAACUGAUACAUGAUGGAGUUUAAGAAGUAGCCAAAAAUGUCAAGAGUUGCAGAGAAGGGAAUAAGAACUGAGAAUAGAUGGUGUUCAUCUAAUGAUAUUUGUAGAAGCAGUUCAUGAAUAAAAACCUUGGGAUUCUUUCAUUUUAUGGGUCAAGUUUGUAACUGCAAAUUUUAAGGUAAAUAAUGGAUUCCUUUAUCUAUAGGUAAUAAAUUCAAGACGUGAUGCAAAUAUGUUUUUUUUCAAAUGAUAACUUUUUGAUUGUAUGAGUUUAAAAUCAUUUGAAGCAGACAGAAUUAGAAAGCCUUUCCUUAUGUAAAUCCAAUUGUUCAUUCUUGCUUGCAUGAAUAAAUAGUCAGUCAGUGAAUCUUUAUUGUGUAUCUACCAUAUACUUUGCUAGGUAUUUGGGACAAUGGCAGUAGGUAAGAAAGACACCAUCCCAGCCUUCAUAUUUAAAGCAAUAAUACCAAAGAAAGAAAAAAGCUGUACUUUGACACUUCUUGGUAAUAAGGGGAAAAAAGGGAAUCUAAAAUAAUACAGAUAUAAUAUAAUAUACCUGUUUGAAGAAUUUUUAUGGAGUGAUUAAAAUUACUGUGUAUGAAAUAGCAUUUUUCCUUUAAUAUUAAAGCAAAAUAUAGCAUUAGAAUUAUAUGAAAAUAUAUAUGUAAAUGGCUGAAUAGAAACACUGAAAACUAACAUAUUUGUGUUGAAAUAGAGAAAUUAUUGGUGAUUUUACUUUUGAUUUUUCUUUAAAGUUUUUUAAAAAUCUUUUUCUAGUUUUUAAAUGUCUUAUAUUAGUAAGUAGUGAGAAGUUUCUGUUAAUUUGUAAAUGUAUCCAUUCUUCACAUACACAACGGGGCUUGAAAAAGCAGUCCUUGGAUUUUAAAUCUUUUAUCUAGAAAGGCUCUUAAACUGGUGAUCCCCAUGUGAAAUCUAGCCCACCGAUAUUGUACCAAUUAUUUAUUCCCACAAUAAAAUGUUGCCUAGCAA
Long non-coding RNA from Dama dama (fallow deer), 2804 nucleotides. RefSeq lists it as uncharacterized. The transcript is spliced from 2 exons. The record is from RefSeq and is a predicted model, not a curated record. NCBI's taxonomy places the organism in Eukaryota, Metazoa, Chordata, Mammalia, Artiodactyla, Cervidae.